AGCUGCAUGGGGGCAAGCCUGAUCCAGCGACGCCGCGUGGGUGACGAAGGCCUUCGGGUUGUAAAGCCCUUUUGCCGGGGACGAUGAUGACGGUACCCGGAGAAGAAGGACCGGCUAACUCCGUGCCAGCAGCCGCGGUAAUACGGAGGGGGCUA
Molecule: ribosomal RNA, 155 nt
Filed under: uncultured Rubellimicrobium sp.
Lineage: Bacteria; Pseudomonadati; Pseudomonadota; Alphaproteobacteria; Rhodobacterales; Roseobacteraceae
Description: partial 16S ribosomal RNA
Rfam family: Bacterial small subunit ribosomal RNA
Source: RNAcentral